GGCUGAUGCUGCUCACCUCAACCAGGGAUGGCUCAGGAGCAGCUUCUGGGGCUGGGCAUCCUGGGAGAGAAGAACCUGGAGAGCCACCACCACCUCCUGCUUCCGAGCAUCAUUUGCAGCUCAGGGUGUCAUCUGGGCAUGCCAUUGUCAUGGG
This 154-nucleotide long non-coding RNA is filed under the name Cyanistes caeruleus (blue tit). RNAcentral describes it as "lncRNA (ENSCCEG00000013649.1)". The record is from RNAcentral. Lineage: Eukaryota; Metazoa; Chordata; Aves; Passeriformes; Paridae.